This 449-nucleotide ribosomal RNA is filed under the name uncultured bacterium. RNAcentral's name for it is "bacterial SSU rRNA". It matches the Rfam family "Bacterial small subunit ribosomal RNA", at positions 335 to 799 of the family's 1533-position model. The record is from RNAcentral.
ACUCCUACGGGAGGCAGCAGUGGGGAAUCUUGCGCAAUGGGCGAAAGCCUGACGCAGCCAUGCCGCGUGAAUGAUGAAGGUCUUAGGAUUGUAAAAUUCUUUCACCGGGGACGAUAAUGACGGUACCCGGAGAAGAAGCCCCGGCUAACUCCGUGCCAGCAGCCGCGGUAAUACGGAGGGUGCGAGCGUUAAUCGGAAUUACUGGGGCGUAAAGCGCAUGCAGGCGGCCUGUUAAGUCAGAUGUGAAAGCCCGGGGCUUAACCUCGGAAUUGCAUUUGAAACUGGCAGGCUAGAGUCUUGUAGAGGGGGGUAGAAUUUCAGGUGUAGCGGUGAAAUGCGUAGAGAUCUGAAGGAAUACCAGUGGCGAAGGCGGCCCCCUGGACAAAGACUGACGCUCAGAUGCGAAAGCGUGGGGAGCAAACAGGAUUAGAUACCCUGGUAGGAUAGCG